AACCCAUGUGAACCAUACCAAACUGUUGCCUCGGCGGGGUCACGCCCCGGGUGCGUCGCAGCCCCGGAACCAGGCGCCCGCCGGAGGGACCAACCAAACUCUUUCUGUAGUCCCCUCGCGGACGUUAUUUCUUACAGCUCUGAGCAAAAAUUCAAAAUGAAUCAAAACUUUCAACAACGGAUCUCUUGGUUCUGGCAUCGAUGAAGAACGCAGCGAAAUGCGAUAAGUAAUGUGAAUUGCAGAAUUCAGUGAAUCAUCGAAUCUUUGAACGCACAUUGCGCCCGCCAGUAUUCUGGCGGGCAUGCCUGUCCGAGCGUCAUUUCAACCCUCGAACCCCUCCGGGGGUCCGGCGUUGGGGAUCGGGAACCCCUAAGACGGGAUCCCGGCCCCGAAAUACAGUGGCGGUCUCGCCGCAGCCUCUCAUGCGCAGUAGUUUGCACAACUCGCACCGGGAGCGCGGCGCGUCCACGUCCGUAAAACACCCAACUUCUGAAAUGUUGACCUCGGAUCAGGUAGGAAUACCCGCUGAACUUAAGCAUAUCAAUAAGCGGAGGAAAAAGAAA
Molecule: ribosomal RNA, 563 nt
Filed under: Trichoderma paraviridescens
Lineage: Eukaryota; Fungi; Ascomycota; Sordariomycetes; Hypocreales; Hypocreaceae
Description: eukaryotic LSU rRNA
Rfam family: 5.8S ribosomal RNA (bases 166-319)
Source: RNAcentral